RNAcentral lists this ribosomal RNA (451 nucleotides) under uncultured bacterium. RNAcentral's name for it is "bacterial SSU rRNA". It matches the Rfam family "Bacterial small subunit ribosomal RNA", at positions 354 to 796 of the family's 1533-position model. The record is from RNAcentral.
GUGGGGAAUAUUGGACAAUGGGGGGAACCCUGAUCCAGCCAUGCCGCGUGUGUGAAGAAGGCCUUUUGGUUGUAAAGCACUUUAAGCGAGGAGGAGGCUACCGAGAUUAAUACUCUUGGAUAGUGGACGUUACUCGCAGAAUAAGCACCGGCUAACUCUGUGCCAGCAGCCGCGGUAAUACAGAGGGUGCAAGCGUUAAUCGGAUUUACUGGGCGUAACGCGCGCGUAGGUGGCCAAUUAAGUCAAAUGUGAAAUCCCCGAGCUUAACUUGGGAAUUGCAUUCGAGACUGGUUGGCUAGAGUAUGGGAGAGGAUGGUAGAAUUCCAGGUGUAGCGGUGAAAUGCGUAGAGAUCUGGAGGAAUACCGAUGGCGAAGGCAGCCAUCUGGCCUAAUACUGACACUGAGGUGCGAAAGCAUGGGGAGCAAACAGGAUUAGAAACCCGGGUAGUCC